Molecule: ribosomal RNA, 287 nt
Filed under: uncultured bacterium
Lineage: Bacteria
Description: partial 16S ribosomal RNA
Rfam family: Bacterial small subunit ribosomal RNA
Source: RNAcentral
UAUCCUACGGGGGGCAGCAGUGAGGAAUAUUGGUCAAUGGGCUUACGCCUGAACCAGCCAAGUCGCGUGAGGGAAGACUGCCCUACGGGUUGUAAACCUCUUUUGUCAGGGAGCAAUGCCGGCUACGCGUAGCCGGACUGAGAGUACCUGAAGAAAAAGCAUCGGCUAACUCCGUGCCAGCAGCGGCGGUAAUACGGAGGAUGCGAGCGUUAUCCGGAUUUAUUGGGUUUAAAGGGUGCGUAGGCGGAAUGUCAAGUCAGCGGUAAAAUUUAGGGGCUCAACCUCGU